CACGGAGGCCCCGAGCGUUGUUCGGAAUUACUGGGCGUAAAGAGUAUGUAGGCGGCGGAGUAAGUCAGAUGUGAAAUCCCGGGGCUCAACCUCGGAACUGCAUUUGAUACUGCUUUGCUUGAGGGUUGGAGAGGAGUCUGGAAUUCACGGUGUAGCAGUGAAAUGCGUGGAUAUCGUGAGGAAGGCCAAAGGCGAAGGCAGGACUCUGGACAACACCUGACGCUGAGAUACGAAGGCCAGGGUAGCGAAAAGG
RNAcentral lists this ribosomal RNA (253 nucleotides) under uncultured bacterium. RNAcentral's name for it is "partial 16S ribosomal RNA". It matches the Rfam family "Bacterial small subunit ribosomal RNA", at positions 524 to 776 of the family's 1533-position model. The record is from RNAcentral.